This 636-nucleotide ribosomal RNA is filed under the name Clostridioides difficile. RNAcentral's name for it is "bacterial LSU rRNA". It matches the Rfam family "Bacterial large subunit ribosomal RNA", at positions 730 to 1374 of the family's 2925-position model. The record is from RNAcentral. Lineage: Bacteria; Bacillati; Bacillota; Clostridia; Peptostreptococcales; Peptostreptococcaceae.
CUACCCAUGAGCAGGAUGAAGCGAAAGUAAAAUUUCGUGGAGGUCCGAACCCACGAGCGUUGAAAAGCUCGGGGAUGACUUGUGGGUAGCGGUGAAAUUCCAAUCGAGCCCGGAGAUAGCUGGUUCUCCCCGAAAUAGCUUUAGGGCUAGCCUCAAGGUGAGAGAUACGGAGGUAGAGCACUGAAUGUCCUAGGGGGUAUUGCACCUACCGAAGACUAUCAAACUCCGAAUGCCGUCAUCUUAUACUUGGGAGUCAGACUGUGGGUGAUAAGAUUCAUAGUCGAAAGGGCAACAGCCCAGAUCGUCAGCUAAGGUCCCUAAAUGUAAGUUAAGUGGUAAAGGAUGUGGGAUUGCACAGACAACCAGGAUGUUGGCUUAGAAGCAGCCACUCAUUCAAAGAGUGCGUAAUAGCUCACUGGUCGAGUGAUCCUGCGCCGAAGAUUUCCGGGGCUAAAACUUACUACCGAAGCUACGGCAUCAGUAAUGAGGGGUAGGGGAGCUUCCCAUAUGGGUUGAAGCAUGACCGUAAGGACAUGUGGACAGUAUGGGAGUGAGAAUGUUGGCAUGAGUAGCGAGAUGUGGGUGAGAAUCCCACAGGCCGUAAACCCAAGGUUUCCAGGGGAAGGUUCGUCCGCC